GAGCCGCUGAGUGGCGGCAGCGGCCCCAGGACCGGGUUUCCUCAGACAAGAGGGCGGGUGGAGGAGGAAGCGG
Bos indicus x Bos taurus (hybrid cattle) is the source of this 73-nucleotide microRNA precursor. Lineage: Eukaryota; Metazoa; Chordata; Mammalia; Artiodactyla; Bovidae. The record is from Ensembl.